UGCCAAAUCAUCAAACUUUUGGUUCUUAACCAAUGGGAAAACAGUGCACUUGAUGGGAGCCACAAGAGGAGGAAAGCGGAACACAUUUAGUUGCUCAUCAGUCGUUUUGCUCUGCCUGGUGUAGAAGGAAUGCUCGAACAGGCAGUAGAUUAUUCGACCAAUUCCGAAAGACGGUUCAAUCACCGAAGGUGUGAACACACGUUGGUGUUCCUUCUUCUUUUCCUUUCGAAUUGAUACCAUGUUUUUCUUUAUAGUA
This 256-nucleotide unclassified non-coding RNA is filed under the name Hevea brasiliensis (rubber tree). The record is from RNAcentral. Lineage: Eukaryota; Viridiplantae; Streptophyta; Magnoliopsida; Malpighiales; Euphorbiaceae.